AAACCAACCGGGAUUUGCCUCAGUAACGGCGAGUGAAGCGGCAAAAGCUCAAAUUUGAAAUCCUUCGGGAGUUGUAAUUUGUAGAGGGGUGUCUUUGGGGCGGCAUUGUCUAUGUUCCUUGGAACAGGACGUCACAGAGGGUGAGAAUCCCGUGCGAUGAUGCCUCAACCAGUACAAGACCCUCUCGACGAGUCGAGUGUUUGGGAAUGCAGCUCUAAGUGGGUGGUAAAUUCCAUCUAAAGCUAAAUACUGGCGAGAGACCGAUAGCGAACAAGUACAGUGAUGGAAAGAUGAAAAGCACUUUGAAAAGAGAGUGAAACAGUACGUGAAAUUGUUGAAAGGGAAGGGUAGGAGGUGAGGGGAAGAGCUGCUUAGGCGCGGGAGAUAAAAAGCAGGAAGCGCUUCGGUGCGGCCUGGUAAAUAUCCCGUGCUUGUGUGGUUCUUCCGUAAUCCCCUUCUACCGCG
This 465-nucleotide ribosomal RNA is filed under the name Diutina catenulata. RNAcentral's name for it is "partial large subunit ribosomal RNA". It matches the Rfam family "Eukaryotic large subunit ribosomal RNA", at positions 62 to 512 of the family's 3401-position model. Lineage: Eukaryota; Fungi; Ascomycota; Pichiomycetes; Serinales; Debaryomycetaceae. The record is from RNAcentral.